Molecule: long non-coding RNA, 389 nt
Filed under: Theobroma cacao (cacao)
Lineage: Eukaryota; Viridiplantae; Streptophyta; Magnoliopsida; Malvales; Malvaceae
Description: long non-coding RNA (TCAC_LNC001127)
Source: RNAcentral
UUUGAGAUUGAUGACUUUGAUUUAGCCUUUGUUUUGAGCAUUGAUUAUUGAUGACUAAAUUCAUCCUUUGUUCAAAUACUUUGACAUUGUUUUAUUUCGAGCACUUUAUCUUAAAUAGUGAAUGGAUUCACCCUUUCAUUUGGCAACGAACAUUUGAAUAUUUAGAAAUAUAAAACAACAUGUUUUAAGGGAGCCUACUUGAGUUUUGGACCUGUGGCUAGUGACGGUAGACAAUAGCCAUUGUGCACAAUGCUUAGCUUUGAUUGGGUAGUUAAUAGAGUCCUACCCCCUUUGAUUUGGUUUCAUUUGGUAGUUGCUACUGUCACGACUCAAAACUCCCAUCGAGCCCAUGCCAACCGCCGCGACUUCCUAUUAGACAUUCAUUGCCC